UGGCGAACUUGGGCUGCAGGGACGUCCCGGGCCCGGAUGAGGACAUUUUUCUGUACUUCGCCUACGGUAGCAACCGGCUGACGAGAGUAUCCACCUCCGAAACCCCUCGGCGGCGGGCUUCUGUGUGGCCCGCAUGCAGAUCCAGACCGUCCUGGCCAACAUGGUGAAACCCCGUCUCUACUAAAAAUACAAAACAGCUGGGCGUCGUGGCGGGCGCCUGUAGUCCCAGCCACCCAGGAGGCUGAGGCAGGAGAAUUGCUUGAACCCGGAAGGCGGAGCUUGCAGUGAGCCGAGAUUGCGCCACUGCACUCCAGCCUGGCGACAGAGCGAGACUCCGUCUCAAAAAAGAAAAAAAAAAAAAAGGAACAUAUGUUGUAAUAGAAGUUAAAGUUUCAACUCAAGAAGGAAGAGAAAUAACCUGUCAAAGAUAUCUGAUGACAAAUUACGAAAGUGCUCCUCCGUCUUCACAGUAUAAAAAGAUUAUUUGCAUGGGUGCAAAAAUAAAAAUGGUUUGCCGCUGGAGUAUCAAGAGAAGUUAAAAGCAAUAGAACCAAAUGACUAUACAGGAAAGGUCUCAGAAGAAAUUGAAGACAUCAUCAAAAAGGGAGAAACACAAACUCUUUAGAACAUAACAGAAUAUAUCUAAGGAUAUUCUAUGUGCUAAUAUAAAAUAUUUUUUAACACUUGAGAACAGGGAUCUGGAGGAUCUCCAUGUUUGAUCCAUUUUCAACAGUGCUCUGAAGGAAUAUCGCACUUGGCAUGUACAGACAGAACUCAUGAUUUUAUGGAUACGGGCAGACUAUCUCUGGAAGGAUACAGA
This 820-nucleotide long non-coding RNA is filed under the name Homo sapiens (human). Its description in RNAcentral is "non-protein coding lnc-GLRX-2:2". The record is from RNAcentral. Lineage: Eukaryota; Metazoa; Chordata; Mammalia; Primates; Hominidae.